This is a long non-coding RNA of Fukomys damarensis (Damara mole-rat), 1230 nucleotides long. RefSeq lists it as uncharacterized. NCBI's taxonomy places the organism in Eukaryota, Metazoa, Chordata, Mammalia, Rodentia, Bathyergidae. The record is from RefSeq and is a predicted model, not a curated record. The transcript is spliced from 3 exons.
CGGUGAACACCAGGAGCACAGGGUAUUAUUUCCCCUGUGGAGUUUACAUUCUCAUUGGGAGGAUGGAGAAAAGCCAGAUGAGUGCAGCACCAACUGUAACAGGACCAAGCUUGGAAGCAGAGAGACCACUUAGGAGACUCACAAAACCCAGGGCCCACGUCUUUGCGAAGUACCCAGCUCCACUGGGCCGGCUGGUCAGGGGAGCUUUCCUCCAUCCCUUCUGAGUGGGUCUGUCUUUCCCGGUCCAGAUUUCCUACCAUAAAACUUCAUUUCAGAAUAUACACUUGAGUAGCUUUAAAUAUAUUCAUGAAAUUGUAUAAUCAUCACUACUAUCUAAUCCCAGAACAUUUUAUCACUUCAAAAAGAAAUCCUAGCUGGGCAUCAUGGCACAUGCCCAGCACUUGGGAGGCCAAAGCAGGAUCGCCACAGGUUUGUGACUAGCCUGAACUACACAGAGAGACUGUGCCUCAUCUCCCCCCAUGCAGAAAAGAGAUCCUGUAGCCCUCGCUAACCAUCUCCUCUCCCACCACCCAGCAACCACUGAGCUAUUUUCUGUCUCUACAGACUGACCUAUUCUGGGUAUUUUAUUUAAAUGAAAUUAUGCAGUAUGUGACUUAUGCCUGGUUUCUUUCACUUAGUCCCUUUUCAAGGUUUGCCCAGACUGGAGCACACACAUUAUAUUUUAGGGUGAAUAUUACAUUGCACAGAUAUAUCACUUCUGUUAUCCAGUCACUGGCUGCUGCGCCGGUGGGCUAUUUCUGGUUUGGGCUAGUAUGGAUGAGGCAUCUGUAAGCAUUUGUGCACAAGUUUACGUAUGGACACAUACACUGAAUUCUUUGGGCUAAGUACCUAGGAGAGGAAUCAUGGGGUCGUGUGGUAUCCUUAUGUUGAGCUUUUGUGAAGAACUGAAAACUUCUCUGUAGCAUCUGCACAUUUCAAAUACCUACUCAUUUUCUUCUCUUCAUCCUCACUGGCCCUUACUUUCUUUCCUGUGUAAAAAGUCUAGCCAUCUUCGCAGGUGUGGAGUAGUAUCUCAUUGUGGUUUUGAUUUGCAUUUCUUUAAUGACUAAUGAUGGUGCUUCUUGGUCAUUUAAAGAAGUGCCUAUUCAAAUCCUUCGCUCAUUAAAAAAAUAGGUUAAACAAUAAAGAGGGGGUAAAGCUCAGCUGUAGAGCAUUUAUCUAGCCUGUGCGAAGCCAUCAGUUUGAUGACCAACACCAGGAGAGAGAGAG